GAUGAACGCUGGCGGCGUGCCUAAUACAUGCCAGUCGAGCGAACAGAUGAGGAGCUUGCUCCUCUGACGUUAGCGGCGGACGGGUGAGUAACACGUGGAUAACCUACCUAUAAGACUGGGAUAACUUCGGGAAACCGGAGCUAAUACCGGGUAAUAUAUUGAACCGCAUGGUUCAAUAGUGAAAGACGGUUUUGCUGUCACUUAUAGAUGGAUCCGCGCCGCAUUAGCUAGUCGGUAAGGUAACGGCUUACCAAGGCAACGAUGCGUAGCCGACCUGAGAGGGUGAUCGGCCACACUGGAACUGAGACACGGUCCAGACUCCUACGGGAGGCAGCAGUAGGGAAUCUUCCGCAAUGGGCGAAAGCCUGACGGAGCAACGCCGCGUGAGUGAUGAAGGUCUUCGGAUCGUAAAACUCUGUUAUUGGGGAAGAACAAAUGUGUAAGUAACUAUGCACGUCUUGACGGUACCUAAUCAGAAAGCCACGGCUAACUACGUG
Molecule: ribosomal RNA, 497 nt
Filed under: uncultured bacterium
Lineage: Bacteria
Description: partial 16S ribosomal RNA
Rfam family: Bacterial small subunit ribosomal RNA
Source: RNAcentral